AAACUAACAAGGAUUCCCCUAGUAACGGCGAGUGAMCCGGGRAAAGCUCAAAUUUGAAAUCUGGCGUCCUCAGGGCGUCCGAGUUGUAAUCUAUAGAGGCGUUUUCCGUGCCGGACCGUGUCCAAGUCCCUUGGAACAGGGUAUCAAAGAGGGUGACAAUCCCGUACUUGACACGACUACCGGUGCUCUGUGAUACGUCUUCUACGAGUCGAGUUGUUUGGGAAUGCAGCUCAAAAUGGGUGGUGAGUUCCAUCUAAAGCUAAAUAUUGGCGAGAGACCGAUAGCGAACAAGUACCGUGAGGGAAAGAUGAAAAGCACUUUGGAAAGAGAGUUAAACAGUACGUGAAAUUGUUGAAAGGGAAACGAUUGAAGUCAGUCGUGACCGAGAGGCUCAGCCGGCUCUGCCGGUGUAUUCCCCUCGGUCGGGUCAACAUCAGUUUUGUCCGGUGGAUAAGGGCGGUAGGAAGGUGGCACCCACGGGUGUGUUAUAGCCUGCCGUCACAUACACUGGGUGAGACUGAGGAAUGCAGCUCGCCUUUAUGGCCGGGGUUCGCCCACGUCCGAGCUUAGGAUGUUGACAUAAUGGCUUUAAACGAC
Molecule: ribosomal RNA, 597 nt
Filed under: Papiliotrema aff. laurentii
Lineage: Eukaryota; Fungi; Basidiomycota; Tremellomycetes; Tremellales; Rhynchogastremaceae
Description: partial large subunit ribosomal RNA
Source: RNAcentral